RNAcentral lists this transfer RNA (85 nucleotides) under Deinococcus aetherius. Its description in RNAcentral is "tRNA-Leu". It matches the Rfam family "tRNA". Rfam says of the family: Transfer RNA (tRNA) molecules are approximately 80 nucleotides in length. Their secondary structure includes four short double-helical elements and three loops (D, anti-codon, and T loops). The record is from RNAcentral. RNAcentral also lists the same sequence under 11 other names. Lineage: Bacteria; Thermotogati; Deinococcota; Deinococci; Deinococcales; Deinococcaceae.
GCUGGGGUGGCGGAAUUGGUAGACGCACUAGCUUGAGGUGCUAGCGCCGCGAGGCGUGUGGGUUCAAGUCCCAUCUCCAGCACCA